ACAAACUUGGUCAUUUAGAGGAAGUAAAAGUCGUAACAAGGUUUCCGUAGGUGAACCUGCGGAAGGAUCAUCACUGAUUCGGGGUGCGCGCCAGUGCGGGAGACUGCGCUGGGGUGCGCAUCCCAACCAAUCUUGUGUGAACUGUAACGCGCGAGCGCUGCGUGGUGGAGUGGUUGGCGGUACGGGGGAGACCCCCCACCGCCAACCGCCGCCAUGCGAGCACACAAUUACCUCUACCAAUCUUGUCUAACAUUACACACACUAAAUUAACACAACUUUUAACAAUGGAUCUCUUGGCUCUCGCAUCGAUGAAGAACGCAGC
RNAcentral lists this unclassified non-coding RNA (322 nucleotides) under uncultured fungus. RNAcentral's name for it is "partial contains small subunit ribosomal RNA, internal transcribed spacer 1, and 5.8S ribosomal RNA". The stretch from base 1 to 73 matches the Rfam family "Eukaryotic small subunit ribosomal RNA", at positions 1759 to 1831 of the family's 1831-position model. Lineage: Eukaryota; Fungi. The record is from RNAcentral.